This 253-nucleotide ribosomal RNA is filed under the name uncultured bacterium. RNAcentral describes it as "partial 16S ribosomal RNA". It matches the Rfam family "Bacterial small subunit ribosomal RNA", at positions 524 to 776 of the family's 1533-position model. The record is from RNAcentral.
UACGAAGGGGGCUAGCGUUGCUCGGAAUUACUGGGCGUAAAGGGCGCGUAGGCGGAUGGCACAGUCAGCUGUGAAAUUCCCGGGCUUAACCUGGGGGCUGCAUUUGAUACGUGUUGUCUUGAGUUCGGAAGAGGGUCGUGGAAUUCCCAGUGUAGAGGUGAAAUUCGUAGAUAUUGGGAAGAACACCGGUGGCGAAGGCGGCGACCUGGUCCGACACUGACGCUGAGGCGCGAAAGCGUGGGGAGCAAACAGG